UUCUCCCCAAGCCCGGCCCUGGGAGGAGGUGUCGUCGGCAGAGAAGGACAGCACGGCUCCGCCCCGGAUCACCAUGGAAACCCCGGCCGGCUGCCAGGAGAGGGCACGCCAUGAUAACGUCACACUGGGAGUGACAGGAGGAGAACCAGGAAGUGGAAGCAUUGGCGCUACGAAUUCAAGUUCUGCCUCAAAGAUCAGCUCCGAUACUGCUGUAACCACAGCACAGGACAACACUAAGGACAUUCAGGAAAAGGACAUACGCUACCAUCCGGCGACUGCAAGGAUAGCAACAACUCCAACUCCAUCGGUGUUCAACUCGGAGAUCACUGCUUCCUUCGACCCAGAUGUCUUCUGGAUGAAGAUUUCAGCACGUCAAUGAUCAAAAGGAGGAUUUAUCUUCCACACUUGCUUGUGAAGAUAACAACAAGAAGAGACACCAGAACCUCGCCAGGACCCUCUGAUUUCACAGAGCAAGAAAAGCUGGGUUGUAUAAAAUCUACAAAGAGCACAACAGCAGAUCCCAGUUCACCUGUCACAAAACUGAGUUUAUCUCCUACUGCAGAGUUGAAGGACAUUGAAAUAACAAAGUUGUUUGUUUUCAAGAUAUUUUCCCGUUUACAAAUUGUUUUGCUAAGUUGAAAUUUUGCAGUUUUAAAGCUACAAAAUAUUUUCCUGUUUAUAAAUAGUUUUGCUAAGUUGAAAUUUUGUACAGUUCUAAAGUUAAAUGUUUUAAGUUAUAAUUCUAUGGUUAAAAGACCAAAUUGCUCCUAAAUAUAAGUACUGCAGCCACAGGUAUGGGAAAUCCAUUGACACUCAAGGAAACUAAAUUUGGCAAAAUUUGAAAUACACUGUCAAUGUCAUCUUGCAUGCAAAAGGAUCCUUGCAGGUAAGAUAACAAAGAACAAGCUGCAUAUUUGCA
Catharus ustulatus (Swainson's thrush) is the source of this 919-nucleotide long non-coding RNA. RefSeq lists it as uncharacterized. The record is from RefSeq and is a predicted model, not a curated record. Lineage: Eukaryota; Metazoa; Chordata; Aves; Passeriformes; Turdidae. The transcript has 2 exons.